ACGCUGGCGGCAGGCCUAACACAUGCAAGUCGAGCGGUAGAGAGAAGCUUGCUUCUCUUGAGAGCGGCGGACGGGUGAGUAAUGCCUAGGAAUCUGCCUGGUAGUGGGGGAUAACGUUCGGAAACGGACGCUAAUACCGCAUACGUCCUACGGGAGAAAGCAGGGGACCUUCGGGCCUUGCGCUAUCAGAUGAGCCUAGGUCGGAUUAGCUAGUUGGUGAGGUAAUGGCUCACCAAGGCGACGAUCCGUAGCUGGUCUGAGAGGAUGAUCAGUCACACUGGAACUGAGACACGGUCCAGACUCCUACGGGAGGCAGCAGUGGGGAAUAUUGGACAAUGGGCGAAAGCCUGAUCCAGCCAUGCCGCGUGUGUGAAGAAGGUCUUCGGAUUGUAAAGCACUUUAAGUUGGGAGGAAGGGCAGUUACCUAAUACGUGAUUGUUUUGACGUUACCGACAGAAUAAGCACCGGCUAACUCUGUGCCAGCAGCCGCGGUAAUACAGAGGGUGCAAGCGUUAAUCGGAAUUACUGGGCGUAAAGCGCGCGUAGGUGGUUAGUUAAGUUGGAUGUGAAAUCCCCGGGCUCAACCUGGGAACUGCAUUCAAAACUGACUGACUAGAGUAUGGUAGAGGGUGGUGGAAUUUCCUGUGUAGCGGUGAAAUGCGUAGAUAUAGGAAGGAACACCAGUGGCGAAGGCGACCACCUGGACUGAUACUGACACUGAGGUGCGAAAGCGUGGGGAGCAAAC
Molecule: ribosomal RNA, 745 nt
Filed under: uncultured bacterium
Lineage: Bacteria
Description: bacterial SSU rRNA
Rfam family: Bacterial small subunit ribosomal RNA
Source: RNAcentral